AGGGCUAAAUUCUGCCAUAUUGGGAACAUUUGGUGCUACCUUAUAAUUCAAGAUGUUAAUACAUGCUCACUUCAGGUUUUUCCCAUAUUUUUUAAUUAUCCAGCAUCCUGAGACUUCUGAAGAAGAAGAACAUUUAACUGGAUGUUUUCACAGGCAACAGUGAGGAUCAAAAUGGUGAUUCCUGAAAAUGGAGCUAAGGAUUAUUACUGAGCAUAAGAGAGGCGAGAAGCGGAAGGUGGCUGGUAGAGAAAGUCAUGUUUUAAUAAGGAUAACUUGAGAAAAAUCACAUUUAAAUAAACAAGGAUAAUUCUUGGAUAUAUUCUCAACCAAAGACAAAUCAUCAGCCUAUUUCCCAGGGUCUUGUCAAUCCUUCUUUCCCCAGGUAGCUGCUUUGAUUAAAUAACAGCAGCUGAGGACAUAGCUUAGCUUAGGGUUUGGUGAAAAGUCAGGACCCAGGGAUGGGUGGGUCCAGCAGUGCCUGGCACAUCUCAGCCCCUGCCUCUUCACAUUGACUUUGAACAAGAAACUGUGGCAUCCAGCACAGCCAGAGAACAUGGGGAGGAAAAGAAAAAGGGGGGCCCCCCCAACGGUCUCUCAAACCUGGACCAAAGUUGUUCAAGUUUACAUUCUUUAACUUCUAAUAUUGGCACCACUGUUAAUUCUUUCACUCUGAGAGUGCUGCAUGCACAAAAAGAGAAAAUAAAGAAAAAAUGACAGAUGGAAAAAGUGUGCUUUAGCCACAGCUGUUUCCUCCUUCCUUCAAAAAAUGAAUUAAGUGCCUUAUAACCUAAGGGAGAAAAAAUGAUGGUUUUCGAAGUGAAAUAUGUCCUGUCAAAAAGUCGGCUAUAAAAAUGCAUAUUACUCAGUAAGAUAAUCUCUCAGAAUUAUUGCUUAAUGAUUUAGGAUUUGGGUUUUUCUUAACCAAUCAUUCCUAAUAUUUCCAUUACAAAGAGAAAAAAACUAGCCAUGGGUGACAGAUUUUAAGAAAAAAAAAAAAAAAAAGAAUAGAGUGAGGAAAACAGGCAAAAAAUAAAAAGCUAGGGAUUUUGCUCACAUGUGAUGGUGUGCCUAGUGUAGUUGGGGGG
Oxyura jamaicensis (ruddy duck) is the source of this 1085-nucleotide long non-coding RNA. RefSeq lists it as uncharacterized. The transcript has 2 exons. Lineage: Eukaryota; Metazoa; Chordata; Aves; Anseriformes; Anatidae. The record is from RefSeq and is a predicted model, not a curated record.